UCAUUGGUGGUUCAGUGGUAGAAUCCUCGCCUUCCACAUGAGAGACCUGGGUUAGAUUCCCAGCCAAUGCA
Loxodonta africana (African savanna elephant) is the source of this 71-nucleotide transfer RNA. It matches the Rfam family "tRNA". From Rfam's summary of the family: Transfer RNA (tRNA) molecules are approximately 80 nucleotides in length. Their secondary structure includes four short double-helical elements and three loops (D, anti-codon, and T loops). The record is from Rfam. NCBI's taxonomy places the organism in Eukaryota, Metazoa, Chordata, Mammalia, Proboscidea, Elephantidae.